Molecule: ribosomal RNA, 1395 nt
Filed under: uncultured bacterium
Lineage: Bacteria
Description: bacterial SSU rRNA
Rfam family: Bacterial small subunit ribosomal RNA
Source: RNAcentral
AGAGUUUUAUCCUGGCUCAGGAUGAACGCUAGCGGCAGGCCUAAUACAUGCAAGUCGGACGGUAAGCGCCCCCUUCGGGGGUGCGAGAGUGGCGCACGGGUGCGUAACGCGUAUGCAACCAGCCCCGUCCAGGCGGAUAGCCGGUGGAAACGCCGGAUAAUACGCCACGGUCCCGGAGGGGGGCAUCCCUUUCCGGGUGAAGCGGAGACGCGGGACGGGACGGGCAUGCGUGCCAUUAGCUUGUUGGCGGGGCGACGGCCCACCAAGGCUACGAUGGCUAGGGGAUCUGAGAGGACGGUCCCCCACACUGGUACUGAGACACGGACCAGACUCCUGCGGGAGGCAGCAGUAAGGGAUAUUGGUCAAUGGGGGGAACCCUGAACCAGCCAUGCCGCGUGAGGGAAUGAGGCCCUACGGGUCGUGAACCUCUUUUAUUCGGGGACAACGGCGGCGUCGCGAACGCCGCGUGAGGGUACCGAAGGAAUAAGCGUCGGCUAACUCCGUGCCAGCAGCCGCGGUAAUACGGAGGACGCGAGCGUUAUCCGGAUUCAUUGGGUUUAAAGGGUGCGCAGGCGGCCGUGCAAGUCAGCGGUGAAAGCCCGGGGCUCAACCCCGGAAGUGCCGUUGAUACUGCGUGGCUGGAAUGCGGUCGAGGCGGGCGGAACGUGGCGUGUAGCGGUGAAAUGCGUAGAUAUGCCACAGAACGCCGAUAGCGGAGGCAGCUCGCCAGGCCUGCAUUGACGCUCGGGCACGAAAGCGUGGGGAUCGAACAGGAUUAGAUACCCUGGUAGUCCACGCCGUAAACGAUGGGCGCUCGUCGUCGGCGACAGACCGUCGGCGGCCAAGCGAAAGCGAUAAGCGCCCCACCUGGGGAGUACGGUCGCAAGGCUGAAACUCAAAGGAAUUGACGGGGGCCCGCACAAGCGGAGGAGCAUGUGGUUUAAUUCGAUGAUACGCGAGUAACCUUACCCGGGCUUGAACUGCAGGAGAAGUAUACAGAGAUGUUGACGUCCUUCGGGACUCCUGUGGAGGUGCUGCAUGGUUGUCGUCAGCUCGUGCCGUGAGGUGUCGGCUUAAGUGCCAUAACGAGCGCAACCCCUCUCGUCAGUUGCCAUCAGGUAGUGCUGGGCACUCUGGCGACACUGCCACCGUAAGGUGCGAGGAAGGUGGGGAUGACGUCAAAUCAGCACGGCCCUUACGUCCGGGGCUACACACGUGUUACAAUGGGUGGUACAGAGAGUAGGGUGCCGGCAACGUCGCCCCAAUCAUUAAAGCCAUCCUCAGUUCGGAUUGGGGUCUGCAACCCGACCCCAUGAAGCUGGAUUCGCUAGUAAUCGCGCAUCAGCCAUGGCGCGGUGAAUACGUUCCCGGGCCUUGCACACACCGCCCGUCAAG